UUUUAUAAACAAUCAAAAUAGGUUUAAGGUUUAUAGUGCUCGUUUUACUUCUCUCCCUACUCCACGAUAUGUUCCGCUCCCCCAUCCUUACCUCCCCGCUGCUCUCUGUCUCCCUCUGGAUUUUCAGCAUAUAAAUGACAAUUUGUUAAGUGCUGGAACAUGUUUCUGCAUGUGCAGUUUUAUGUAAACAAGAUCGAAUUUGAAGGCUGAAGAAGGAUAGUUGGAUACUUGAUAACAAAUGAGUAUGGGCUCUUUAGGAAGACUCUCAGUGGCUAUGCAUUUAGGGAGGCCAGCAAAUACGAAUUUGUGGGCAAGCAUAUGCAUAAGCAGAGUGUGGUGGACAUGGCCUAAUCUACAAUUUGUGAAGACUUAGUCAUUUGAAUUGUGAUUGUGAAUUAGGUGCAUUUAAAAGUAAUAUGUAACAUUUGAUACCUCAUCAAUUGAGAUCUUUUGGAAUGUGAGGUGGCAAGCUUUUUAAUGUGUAUUCAUGGAGGCUAAUUAGCAACAAAUGAUUCAUAUGCUGAGAAGUUACACUGA
Long non-coding RNA from Glycine soja, 537 nucleotides. RefSeq lists it as uncharacterized. The record is from RefSeq and is a predicted model, not a curated record. NCBI's taxonomy places the organism in Eukaryota, Viridiplantae, Streptophyta, Magnoliopsida, Fabales, Fabaceae. The transcript is spliced from 2 exons.